UGUACCAUACUGCAGCUGUCACUCAUCGUCGGAAGCUGUAUCAUCCACUUUCUGCAUGCCGUCGGUCGUUCUUGAUGAAUGCCAGUCACGCGUACAAAACGUCACGUGUCCGUCCACUGUGUCGUUCUGUUACUGCUGCUGCAACCAGUGAUGGAAGAUCGUAAUAAACGAGAACAGUUUCCAGAACAAUAAUGAUGUCCUUAUAUAUUACAUAGUGCAUGCAGAUUUAAGCGUGCCGGUUUCAAGUAUUGUGAUCAUUGCUUGAACUAAAAUAAAUAUAGGCAAAACAUCUUCCGUAACAUCGCGGACUUCGUAGUAAAUUUUUUAUUUAAUCAUUGUUAUGUACUCAAUUUUACAAAUUAUUAAGUGUAAAAUUUUACAUAAUAUUAAUAUUUUUUCACAUACUGUUUAUAACACUAUAUAAUUAACUAGAGAUAAUUUAGUAUCAUUUAAAAAUAAAUCAUUUAUCUUAAGUUAAGUACAAGUAUAAUCAUAGAUAAUUAAUUGACAAUAAAAAAUUAACAUACACAUUAUUUAGUUUAACUUAGUAUAACGUCCCUAAUAAAAAACAUUAUGAUAUACAAUGGUAUAUAGUAAUAUUAAGAUAAAAUAUUAAAACGCAAAA
Long non-coding RNA from Rhopalosiphum padi (bird cherry-oat aphid), 625 nucleotides. RefSeq lists it as uncharacterized. The record is from RefSeq and is a predicted model, not a curated record. The transcript is spliced from 2 exons. Lineage: Eukaryota; Metazoa; Arthropoda; Insecta; Hemiptera; Aphididae.